RNAcentral lists this ribosomal RNA (429 nucleotides) under Pseudomonadota bacterium. Its description in RNAcentral is "Proteobacteria bacterium partial 16S ribosomal RNA". It matches the Rfam family "Bacterial small subunit ribosomal RNA", at positions 355 to 776 of the family's 1533-position model. The record is from RNAcentral. Lineage: Bacteria; Pseudomonadati; Pseudomonadota.
UGGGGAAUAUUGGACAAUGGGCGAAAGCCUGAUCCAGCCAUGCCGCGUGUGUGAAGAAGGUCUUCGGAUUGUAAAGCACUUUAAGUUGGGAGGAAGGGCAGUAAGCGAAUACCUUGCUGUUUUGACGUUACCGACAGAAUAAGCACCGGCUAACUCUGUGCCAGCAGCCGCGGUAAUACAGAGGGUGCAAGCGUUAAUCGGAAUUACUGGGCGUAAAGCGCGCGUAGGUGGUUCGUUAAGUUGAAUGUGAAAGCCCCGGGCUCAACCUGGGAAGUGAAUCCAAAACUGGAGAGCUAGAGUAGGGCAGAGGGUGGUGGAAUUUCCUGUGUAGCGGAGAAAUGCGUAGAUAUAGGAAGGAACACCAGUGGCGAAGGCGACCACCUGGGCUCAUACUGACACUGAGGUGCGAAAGCGUGGGGAGCAAACAGG